CAUGUAUAAGUUUUUGUGUGUGCAUGUGUUUUCAAUUCUCUUGGAUAUACACACACACACACACACACACACACACACACACACACACACACA
This 93-nucleotide microRNA precursor is filed under the name Tursiops truncatus (common bottlenose dolphin). RNAcentral's name for it is "miRNA (ENSTTRG00000024260.1)". The record is from RNAcentral. Lineage: Eukaryota; Metazoa; Chordata; Mammalia; Artiodactyla; Delphinidae.